AUGCCUGCCAUAGAUGUGGCGAAACGUCAGGAGAGAAUACUUCUGGAACAUGGCGAUACAGCCUGGAAAACAUACAACAACCCCGUGAUUCUGACCAUGAAAGCCUCACAACCUCUGAGGAUGCCUGCCAUAGAUGUGGAGAAACGUCAGGAGAGAAUACUUCUGGAAUGUGGCCAGAUAGCCUGGAAAACAUACAACAACCCUGUGAUUCUGACCAUGAAAGCCUCACAACCUCUAAGGAUGCCUGCCACAGAUGUGGCGAAACGUCAGGAGAGAAUACUUCUGGAACAUGGCCAGACAGCCUGGAAAACGUACAACAACCCUGUGAUUCUGACCAUGAAAGCCUCACAACCUCUGAGGAUGCCUGCUAUAGAUGUGGCGAAACGUCAGGAGAGAAUACUUCUGGAAUGUGGCCAGACAGCCCGGAAAACACACAACAACCCUGUGAUUCUGGCCAUGAAAGCCUCACAACCUCUGAGGAUGCCUGCCAUAGAUGUGGCGAAACAUCAGGAGAGAAUGCUUCUGGAAUGUGGCCAGACAACCUGGAAAACAUACAACAACCCUGUGAUUCUGACCAUGAAAGCCUCUCAACCUCUGAGGAUGCCUGCCAUAGAUGUGGCGAAACGUCAGGAGAGAAUGCUUCUGGAAUGUGACCAGGCAGCCUGGAAAACAUACAACAACCCUGUGAUUCUGACCAUGAAAUCCUCACAACCUCUGAGGAUGCCUGCCAUAGAUGUGGCGAAACAACAGGAGAGAAUAGUUCUGGAACAUGGCCAUACAGCCCGGAAAACACACAACAACCUUCUGGAGGUGGUUGGACUAUUCACUUCCAGGAUUCCUUAUGAACAAAAGAAAGAACAUUCUUGGAGAUUAGUCAUGAAAAUGACAAGAAAACCCUGGCAUUGCAAGAUGUUCUGCAGGAAGUUGACCUUCUCCCCUCCAUUGUUUCCCCGAGAGGCAUUUUUGCCAAAGGUUGGCAUGCCGAUAAAACCCUUUCUUAUUUGAACAGCAGGCAGCUGAGGCCACAUUCCCCCGGAUUUUAUCGGUGACGUUCCUUCGUUCGGAUGGCGGAGGUGGCACAUUUCUCAGCUGACGGUUUGGGCUUGUUAAUCUCCUCAACCUCAAUUUAUGUAACUUCGGAGAGGCCCUCACCUCUUGAAGGAAGUACAACAUGAAAUGCGGACACCUUCGCUUCUGGUUAUAUAGUAUUAUCUCUCUAUAUAAAGGCCUCGGCAGACAGAAGUGUGCUUAGCGUGGGGCAAUUAGAGGCCAUCCAAAUAUAUGGCCAAUUCAGGCAAAUACAGCAGAAGUCGUUGGAUGAGGCCGAACCUGAUGCGGAAGAAGAGCAAAACAAUACAACAUCUCACCCCAAAAGAGUCAGUGCGGUGCAGUGUUUUGAUCAUUGGACCUAUGACUUUGGGAAGUAGGAUUCGAAUCCUCAGUUAUGGAAACACAUGGGAAUGUCAUGCUCUCUCAGCCUCAGAGGGUCAUAAUAAAUCAAAAAUGGCUUGGAGACCCACAAUGGUGCCACUGACGAUGCCCUGAUUAAUUGCCACAACGCUCUGGGUUCUGUUGCAUGAAUCUGAGCAUCCAAAACCCAAAACGCUCCGGGGUCUUGUGUGCGAAGAGCGUCCUAUAUUUUGGAAGGGAAGGUGCCGUUUGCCCUUGCGUUUGGGGGAUUGUGUGGUGCCAGCCGCAGGUAGACUGGGAUUUGGGUUGCCAUGGCGAAGCAAGAGCGGAGGACCCCCCCCCUCCCUCCUCCAAAAGCAUGCGCCAGCUUUGGCUUCUAUCCCUGCAAAUCCAUUCUGACAGCUUUGCCCUCUUUCACACUUUUGUGUGUUUUUCUGUUUUGUUUUUUUUCUUCCUCUGAAGCAACAGCAUCUAAGCUCCCUUCUCUGCUGCCUCCAAGGGCUUUUCAAGGAGACGGGCUUUGCUUCAUCCUUGUUCCUUGCAUCUUGGGGAAUCUUCGCUUUUUCUGGUGUCUUUGGGGCAGAUCCGACGCUCGAAGGGUUUUGUUAGCGGCAGGAGCAGCAACACUCUUCCCAAACCCUGCUGCUCUUGAUGCUACUGCUAAAUCUCAAGUUUGCAGAAUUUUCUGUUGCUUUCCCUAAUACAUCCAUCUCUCUCUCUCUCUUCUUUUUGCCUCUCUCUUUUUGCUGGGAGCCCCUGUACUUAACCAGCUACGAAAAUAGCAACACUGCAGAGCACGGCGUCCCCGGCAAAACUCUGCCUUCUGCAAAGCCUGCAUUACAUAAUUCCUGGGAAAAACAUCAGAGGCUUUUUCUCGGGCCUCUCGGAAGCUCAGGUUUCGAGGAAGGCAGCCGAGGCUUGUGCAUUGUCCUUCUGAAUGUGCAUUUGUGCAUUUGCGCUGCAGAUAAGAGGGAAUUCUUUGCAAUGGAACUGCAACAAAAUGCAAACCAGGAUAGGAGACAGAAUGAAGCCGUUGCUUCUCCAAAUAGGGACUGUCACCUGUGUUGGCUCCUUGGCACCAAACCCCAAACAAUCCACAGAUGAUGAUGAUGAUGAUAACAACAACAACAACAACAACAAAUAGACAAAAAACCAGUACAAGAAAGCCGCACUACAAACUAGAGCUGACAGCUGGCACAACAAAACAUUGCAUGGAAAGUUCCUUGACAAAAUUGAAGGAAAAGCUGAUAAGGAGAAGACCUGGCUCUGGCUCACGAAUGGGACCCUGAAGAAGGAGACAGAAGGCCUGAUCCUUGCAGCCCAGGAGCAAGACAUCAGGACAAAGGCAAUUCAGGCCAAGAUCGACCCAAAAUGCAGACUGUGCAAGGAAACUGACGAAACCAUUGAUCAUAUCCUCAGCUGCUGUAAGAAAAUUGCACAGACAGACUACUAACAGAGGCACAACUAUGUGGCCCAAAUGAUUCAUUGGAACUUAUGCCUCAAGUACCACCUCCCAGCAGCAAAGAACUGGUGGGAUCACAAACCUGCAAAAGUAUUGGAGAAUGAGCACGCAAAGAUACUGUGGGACCAGAGCCGGCCCUAGGUAUUUUUCAAGUGUAGGCAAACAGAAUUUUGGCACCCUCCCCCCCCCCCCCCCCAAACCAAUCACUGAAAAAUAAAAGCAUUGGAUAAGCGAAAAUGUUGGAUAAUAAGGAGGGAUUGAGGAAAUGCCUAUUAAACAUCAAAUUACAUUAAGAUUUUACAAAUUAAGCACCAAAACAUCAUGUUUUACAACUAAUCAACAGAAAAAGCAGUUCAAUACAUGGUAAUGUUAUGUAGGAAUUACUAUAUUUGCGAAUUUAGCACCAAACAUUGAACAGGGAUAUAGGGCAGUGUGGACUUAGAUAACCCAGAUAGCCCCCAGUAUUAAAAAAAAACCCUGUAAAAUCAGGACAAUAAAUAAAGAACAACACUCUGAAAACAGGAGAAAUCCAAACAUUCGUUCUUGCCAGGAAUGCGUUCGGGGCUUUGGGGAGCAGAGAAAUGGUGCUUCUCUGCUCCCUAAACCGCUGAACGCCUUCCUGGCGAGGCCUCGCCAGGAAGGCCUUGCCACGAAGGCCUUGCCACAAAGGCGUUUGGCAGCUUCUCUGCUCUGCAAAGCCCCGAACGCCUUCCUGGCGAGAAGGAAGGUGUUUGGGGCAAAGCGGCAACCUCAGCUCCUUCCUUGCAGAGGGAGGCGCGGCAGCAGAGGCAGGCCGCAGGAGACAUGAGUUGCCUCGAUGGCGCCCCCAACAAGAUGGCGCCACAGGCAACUGCCUAGUUGGCCUGGUGGUUGAACCGCCUCUGUGUGGGACUUCCGAAUAAUACUAUGUGGACCAAAUGAUUAAUGGAAAUUAUGCCUCAAGUACCACCUCCCAGCAGUAAAGAACUGGUGGGAUCACAAACCUGCAAAAGUAUUGGAAAAUGAGCACGCAAAGCUACUGUGGGACUUCCGAAUCCAGACUGACAAAGUUCUGGAACACAACACACCAGACAUCACAGUUGUGGAAAAGAAAAAGGUUUGGAUCAUUGAUGUCGCCAUCCCAGGUGACAGUUGCAUUGACAAAAAACAACAGGAAAAACUCAGCCGCUAUCAGGACCUCAAGAUUGAACUUCAAAGACUCUGGCAGUAACCGGUUCAGGUGGUUCCGGUGGUGAUGGGCACACUGAGUGCCGUGCCAAAAGAUCUCAGCCGGCAUUUGGAAACAAUAGACAUUGACAAAAUUAUGAUCUGCCAACUGCAAAAGGCCACCCUGCUGGGAUCUGCGCGCAUCAUCCGAAAAUACAUCACACAGUCCUAGACACUUGGGAAGUGUUCAACUUGUGAUGUUGUAAAACAAAAUCCAGUAUAUCUAUCUUGUUUGCUGUGUCAUAAUAAAAUAAUAAUAAUAAUAAUAAUAAUAAUAAUAAUAAUAAUAAUAAUAAUAAUAAUAAUAAUAAUAAGGACUCUGGGUGGCUUACAUGGGGACGAGUCCAGCAUCAACAUCGGUUAGAACACAAUGAUUAUAGCAUUAUGACAUAUCCAUAUUGUGUAUUAUAAUUAUCACAUCCUUAGUAUAAACUGGCAAUCUAUGGGUUCUGGCCUAGUGAAUAUGAUGGAUAAUGUGGAAAUAUAUCCAAAUGUUACACAAUAGCAGAGUAAUAUAUCAUCCCUGGUGUAAAAUGGCAAUCCAUGGACCUGGCACCAAAACUCAACAAAUACAAAAGGCACACUGGAUAUAAAUAUAAUGUUAUGCCCACAUUAUAUAUGGUGCAAAGUCAUAAGGCACCCCUGGCGUAAAAUGGCAAUCCAUGGACCUGGCACCAAAGUUCAACAAAUACAAAAGGCACACUAGAUAUGAAUAUAAUCUUAUGUCCACAUUAUAUAUGACGCACAGUCAUAAGGCAUCGCUGACGUAAAAUGGCAAUCCAUGGAGGGACCUGGCACCAAAACCCAACAAAUACAAAAGGCCCAUUAGAUAUGAAUAUAAUAUUACGCCCAAAUUAUAUAUGAUGCAAAGUCAUAAAACGGCAUACCCAUGGAGGGAUUAGACACCAAAGCCCAACAAAUAUAAAGGCCCACUGGAUAUGAAUAUAAUGUUAUGUCCACAUUAUAUGUGAUGCAAAGUCAUGAGGCAUUCCUGGUAUGCCCAGAUUAUAUCCCUGGUUAUGUCCAAAUAUUUUAUGAUGCAAAGUCAUGAAAGGGCAACCCAUGGAGGGACCUGGCACCAAAGCCCAACAAAUACAAUAGGCCCACUAGAUAUGAAUAUAAUGUUAUGUCCACAUAAUAUAAUGCAGCUAGCUGUGCCCAGCCACGCGUUGCUGUGGUGUUGUCUGGUGGUGUUGGUGAGAAAUUGUUGAGGUAGUGGUGGUAUUGAAUGUCUGUUGUAUGGUUGUCUUUAUGUUUAGUAUGCACACUGAAGUGGAUUAUAUGGCAGUGUGGAGUCAAGAUAAUCCAGUUCAAAGCAGAUAAUAUAAGAUGGGUUAUAUAGCUGUGUGGAAGGGCCUUGAGUCUACACUGCCAUAUAAUCCAGUUAAAAUCUGAUAAUCUGCGGAAGAGGCCUAAGUGAGGCCUAACUGUGCCUGUCCCCUGGGCUGAGUGGGUUGCUAGGAGACCAAGUGGGUGGAGCUUAGCCUUCAAACUGGCAGCAAUGGGAUAAAAACUAUUAUUCCUCUCCUUGUAAUUAGGACUUUAUUUUUCUUUUCUUUUUGUUGUAUCAACCUAGAGCCGUGAAUGAUGGGUUGUGUUGUCAAAUUUCGAAGUUGGGGGGCCUGUAGUUUUGUUGUUUUGUCCGCUGUCCUGAUGCCAUCACUCUUCUAUAUAUAUAAAAGGGUAAUGAAAUUUCGGCCUAGGAGAAAACAACAAAACUGCACAUCCUAGAAACACUAAACUUGGCAGCAGAACCCCUCAUCCAUGCCUCUACGUUCAUACAACAAAAAGAAAAGAAAAAUAAAGUCCAAAUUAGAGGGAGAUGAAUAAUUGUUUUUAUCCAAUUGCUGCCAGUUAAAAGGCUAAGCUCCGCCCACAUAGUCAGACACGACUGAACUUACCCUUUACCAUAACUACCACCAAUUCCUCAAUACUUUAUUUCCUAUACCACCAAACUUCGCCACAGCAAUGCGUGGCUGGGCUCAGCUAGUUUAUGUAUAUAGAAGAAGUCAUAAGGCAUCCCUGGUAUAAAAGAGCAACCCAUGGAGGGACUUGGCACCAGAUUCCAAGGGCCUUCGAUAUAGGAUUAAUAAUGUUUAGACAUACCCAAAUUAUAUGCAAUAAUGGAGUAAUGUUGCAUAUAAUUUGUGUAUGAUAAUUGAGUAUCACAUCCUUAGUACAAAUAAUAAUAAGCAAUAAUGGAGUAAUAGGAGCCCCCAAUGGUGCAGCGUGUUAAAGCGCUGAGCUGCUGAACUUGUGGACCGAAAAGUUGCAGGUUCGAAUCCAGGGAGCGGAGUGAGCGCCUGCUGUUAGCCCCAACUUCUGCCGACCUAGCAGUUCAAAAACAUGCAAAUGUGAGUAGAUCAAUAGGUACCCGCUCUGGCGGGAAGGUAAUGGUGCUCUGAAGUCAUGCCGGCCACAUGACCUUGGAGGUGUCUACGGACAACGCCGGCUCUUUGGCUUAGAAAUAGAGAUGAGCACCAACCCUCAGAGUCGGACACAACUGGACUUAAUGUCAGGCGAAAUCCUUUACCUUUACCUAAUGGCCUCCACAGAAGAAAGUGGCAAUCCAUGGAGGGUCUUCACCAUCAAAUACCAAGAAUUAUAAUGUAAGACAUAUCAAAGUAUACAAUGGUUGAAUUAUAUGGUAUCUCUGGUAUAAAGGAGAGAACCUGGUACCAAAACCUAGUCACAUCCUUGGCAUAAACUGGCCAUCCAUGGAGGGACGUGGCACCAGAUACCAAGACCCCUCUAUAUAUGAUUAUAAUGUUAAAACAUAUCGGAAUUAUGCACAAUGGCGGACUAAUAUAGCCUCUUUGCUAUUAGAAGGCAAUCCAUAGAGAACUGACAAAAUUUGAGAAGAUGAUUAAUCCAAGGGGGGGAAGGGAAGGAAAAAAAGAACUAAAGAUAUAACAAGUGAUAUUUACAAAUUGCUAAUAGAUAAAGAGCAGGAGCAGGAUCACCUUAAAGAAAUGUGGGAGUAAGAUUGCAAUAAGGAAAUACACCCUCAAAUCUGGAAAGAAAUGUGGAAUAUGCGUAUAUUAAAAAACAUGUCUAUAAGAAUAAAAGAGAAUUAUUAUAAAGUGGUUUGGAGAUGCUACCUGACACCAAUUAGAUUAAAUCAAAUUGAUAAGAAAUACUCUAAGCAGUGCUGGAGGGGCUGUCAGGAAAUCUGUACAUAUAUACUAGACAUGUCCAAAAAAUCGUUUUGAAUCGUAUAUCGGAAUUAUUUUGGAUUGUUCUCGCUUUUUGAUACGCAUUCCGAGACAUUGUCUCACAGCCAACCAGCAAUGUAAUUCGAACCAUUGUUGGCCCAUUCUCUAAUCGUCGCUUAAUGUUUCAUUAAUUUUUCCUCUCCCCCCCCCCCCCCCAAAUUUUUUAAAAUAUAUAUACAUAUGUGGUGGUUCUGUAAAUAUGUUCAAAAAUUUUGGGAGAAUGUUUUUAAAGAAAUAAAGGGAAUCACCAAAACAGAAAUAAUGGGAACGCCUGAAAUAGCACUGUUGUCAUUUAUGGAUAAUAUUCAAAUAUCAAAAGAGUUAAAGGAACUAAUCGCCAACUUGGUAACGGCAGCAAGAUUGUUAAUAGCCAAAAAAUGGAAAGGAAGUGAGGAGUGCCAAUUGGAAGAAUGGUAUAAGGAGAUUUGGGAUAUUGUGAUAAAUGAUAAAUUGAUAUGUAAUAUUAAAAUUAAAAGAGGGUUAUUAAAAAAGGAUGAUUUUGGGAAGAUAUGGGGAAAAUUUAUAGAGUUUGUAUACGUAGAAGGAAAGGGGGAAAAACCUGUAAAAGAAACAAUGAAAUUUUGGAAAUAAAUAUUGUAAUUGGCUGGUCUGGGGUGAAGGGUAACAAAAGGUAAAUAAUAUGAGUAUGUAAUAUAGUUAGAGAGUGAAAAUACCAUAGGAGCUAUGAUAUACAUAACUCUGUAUUGCAAAUUUGUUAAAGAAUGUAUAAGUUUUAAGUACUGAAUAUGUAAAAUUCAAAAUUUUUCAAUAAUUUAAAUAAAAAACUGAAAUAAAUGAAAUAAAUGGGGAAAAAAAAGAAGGCAAUCCAUAUGCAAGGACCCGGCACCAAUAAUUUUUCCUUCAUCCCCAAACUUCUGGCAAGGCGUUUGCAUAAAACUUCAGCUUUUGGAAAUGCAGUUCCUAAAGGAGGUUGAUGAAGCGAGAGGCGUCCAAAACGGAGCGAUGAAGAUGAGCCAAGAUGGAAAUCAGAAGCCCUAUUUUGGGUUGGUUUAGAGAUCUGGGAACGUUCAUCCUAAAGAAGAGAAGACAACAAAUUGACAUGACGGAGGGAGGGAGGGGGGGUUAUCUUUAAAUAGCUGAAAGGAUGUCAGGUAGAAGAGGAUGAGGCAGGCUUCUUUCGUGCUGCUCGGGAGACAAGAACAUGAAGCAACGGAUCCAAAUGACAGGGAAAGAGAUUCCACGCAGAACAUGUUCUCGCUGUAGGAGUGGAUCAAAAGUGGAAUAAAUGGCUUUUUGGAGGGCGGUGGGCUCUCCCGUUUUGGAGAUCUUUAAAGGGAGGUUGGAUGUCUCCUUGCAAUGUUUGGACAGAGGAAACCGCAAUCCGACUCGUUUGGAAAAUUCCACUUGUAUUUAUGG
Molecule: RNA transcript, 8670 nt
Organism: Anolis carolinensis (green anole)
Lineage: Eukaryota; Metazoa; Chordata; Lepidosauria; Squamata; Anolidae
Gene: aqp8
Gene name: aquaporin 8
Exons: 3
Source: RefSeq, a predicted model, not a curated record